Non-coding RNA from Punica granatum (pomegranate), 638 nucleotides. Lineage: Eukaryota; Viridiplantae; Streptophyta; Magnoliopsida; Myrtales; Lythraceae. The record is from RefSeq and is a predicted model, not a curated record.
GGCUAAAAAAAUCCGACACAAGAAAGCGAAACUUCUUCUUCGGAAGGCCGUUUUGUCGCGUCGGUUCAGGUCGGGAUUCGUCUUGCAGGCCGGGUUGGGUCUCGGCCGUCCCUGCGUCCGGAGGAGCUCCACACAACCACCCCCGAGCCUAUCUUCCGCCGGCCAGAUGAAGGGCCCCUCCUGCGCUUUCGUGGCCUCCGUGUUGGCCGCCUCCACUGCCGCCUUCUCCUCGUCGUCGUCGUCGUCGUCGUCCUCCUCCUCCUCCGUGGAUCGAAACGCUCCGUUUCACGCUUCCUGGAAUUCCAUCGAUCAGCAAGAUCCAUCGGACAAGGGCAAGUUCGCGCCGAGAUUCGACGGGUUGAGAUUCAUCGAGACGCUGGUGACUGCCCACAGAUGACAACCAUCCAUCGGAUUCAGCAGAUGGCAGUGUGUUAGGAAGAUUGUGACAUCAUAGAACGUCUGAUUAAGAGGAACUGUCUCCAUUUUUAAGUGAACAGUUGUUUCAGCUCAUUUGGCUAUGAUAAUAUUUGCUGGUGUCGUAAGUGUAAUUUGAAGAACGAUUAUGCGAGAUGUUUCAGCUCAUUCGCUAUGUUGUUACCGACAACACAUGAAAUUUUUUUAUUGUCGAGUUUUAUUCA